Molecule: unclassified non-coding RNA, 1330 nt
Filed under: Hevea brasiliensis (rubber tree)
Lineage: Eukaryota; Viridiplantae; Streptophyta; Magnoliopsida; Malpighiales; Euphorbiaceae
Source: RNAcentral
CGGAGAAUGUUACUUUUGAUAUAAGAACAAUACAUUGAAGGCUAUUGCAAAUGGCGCACACAACAUGCUAAACUGAGUCAAAAGGAGUGCACAUAGAAUCCAACUCUGCCAUCAUCUUCAUAUGGCAAAGCAGUAUGAAGGGAUUGUUUUCCAAAUUCCAAAGACUACAAAAAUGAGCAAUGCUACAGAAACAGAUACCACAAACUCCCUUUACCUUUCCCUCUCCCUUUCCCUUCCCCACCGCAGCAGAUACCAAGCUAUAAAGGAUAUUUAUUGCAUCUUUCAACUAAGUUAUCAGCUGCAAAUAAAAUGGGGGACUAUGCAGCAGACAUUAUGCACUCGAUUGCUUGUUUGCAGAUACCAGUCAUUGUGGCCUCUGGGCCAAAAACCUCGAGUGGAACUCCAAGCUCUUCUCCUAGAGCCCGCAUUUUUGCAAGACCGGUCUGAUAAUUUGGACCACCUCUCCGAACAUAGAUAUGCAUUCUUGCAGCCUUCAAUUUCGAUUCUUUCUCUCUUAGAGCUCGAAUAAUUCCAUUGAAAGUGGCAGCAACAUCUGUGAAAUUAGCUAUUCCCCCUCCAAUUAGAAGGGCUCGCUUCCGCCCAUCAGGGUCGGAAGUAGCACAAUCAAUAACAACUCGGGCAUAUUGCAACACCUCCUCCUCAUUUGGAGCCCCACUGUAUUCUGCAUAAUUACCAAGCUCAGAUGCAUAACCCAAAUCCCCAACAGUAUCGGCAUAUAUAACGCUAGCACCCCCUCCUGCCACCAUCGUCCAAAUGCGCCCUUUUGGGUUCAAAACAGUGAAUUUCAAGGAUGCACUUGUCUUUUCAUCUAAAGAGUGAACAAAGCUUUCUGUAGGGUUUAGCACUCGACCAAAGGGCAAAGGAAAUUCAAUGUUUCCCCAUUUCUUAAAAUUUUUGAAGGCAGCAGUGUCAUCCAAUUCCCCCCUCAUAUCCAGUGGAUACGGCUCCCCAUUCACCAGGGUAAAUGGAUUCAUCUCCAGGAAACUGAAGUCCAGAUCUUGAAAUACACUGAAUACACCCAUUAUGAAGUCACCAAUCUUUCCUCGAAUCUCCAGAGGAAGUGUAGCUAUUAACGGAGCACAUGCCUCAAGUGUAAAAGGUUUUUCAGUUGGAAGGAAAAUUGUCUUGACUUUAUCCCAGUUCUCUUCAAUUUCGAUACCCCCACACUCUGAAAAACUUAUCGUGCAGCCAAGCCUUUCAGAAACAAUAGAGAGGUAGUACUCUUGAUCAUGGGGAACAAAUGGCUCCACAAUGAAUGUCGUAAUUGGAGCCUUGCAACCACCCAUCUCAACCUGCACUCCAAGGCGUG